Molecule: ribosomal RNA, 255 nt
Filed under: uncultured bacterium
Lineage: Bacteria
Description: partial 16S ribosomal RNA
Rfam family: Bacterial small subunit ribosomal RNA
Source: RNAcentral
CGGACGGGUGAGUAACGCGUGGAAGACCUGCCGUAUACUGGGGGAUAACACUUAGAAAUAGGUGCUAAUACCGCAUAAGCGCACAGCUUCGCAUGAAGCGGUGUGAAAAACUCUGGUGGUAUACGAUGGUUCCGCGUCUGAUUAGCUAGUUGGUGGGGUAAUGGCCUACCAAGGCAACGAUCAGUAGCCGGCCUGAGAGGGUGAACGGCCACAUUGGGACUGAGACACGGCCCAAACUCCUACGGAAGGCAGCAG